CUCCAGGAAGUUGUACCCGUCAGCACCUGCUGAGGGCUUCGUUGAUCAAACUGACAGGAACCAACCACUUUUAAAAUGGAAGCUAAAAUAAAUGGAAAACCUUCUGAGAGUGAAGCAAACUGAACUUGCUGUUCUUGUCCUUACUGGAUUCAGGGGCACCCUUUGAGAUAAAAACAUGGACCUGAUUGGCAUCAUCCUGUAUCCAUGGAAACGUUGUAUUAGCUUGCCACCAGAGACUGAAAUUCACAACUUGGUCAAAACUUGGAUUUCUGUUUCAUAAAGAAUUGCAACAUAACAUUUGAUUUCAUCAGGUUUACCUUUCAUCAAAGAGCAUGGAAGAGGAAAGAAAUGACAGAAAUUGUUUGGAUUUAGGAACCCUCUGCAAUGGAAAACCAGCUAAUAUGCAACAAGAACUUGUCUUUCUCCUGAAGAAAUAUCUCCUCAUUAUUCAAUGCACAAAGUAGCCUGGGCUUUAACCAAAGUGGAACAGGCAUACAUGAAUAACACUUUCCGGUCAAAUCUGUUCAAAACUUUGGAUAUUGUUACACCUAUUUAGAGAAAACAUUCUGGAAACUUUCCUGUAAAAUGCACUAAGUCUCUGGUUUCCUGAGUUUACUUUGUGCAACAGAAGCUAAACUUGCUAUACCCAGAGGCUGCAUAGACCAAUUCUGUCUACAGGAAAAUACAACACUGCUCUCCAUUUGGAAGAAGUGCUUGGAUGUCUUUUGCAAGAACAAACUCCUGGAUGCAAUUUCUUCGAUGGCAAGAGUGUCAUGAGCAUUGUGGCUCUGGUUCAAGCCAACUACAGCCUGGAAAAUGAAAUACAAUCUAAAAAUAUCAUAAAAAUGGAAAAUUUCAACAUUAAUCUCAUGUAAAUCUUUUACAUUCUGUAGUCAAACUCUGUGAACCUGAAAGAGAAUCCAACUGUAAACCAAGACUCUUUGCUGUUACUUGCAGUUCGUCACAUCAGACCAGGCUGUACCCUUGGGUCCUAGUCAUGAAAGAGUCUUUGUGAGGAGACCUUGCCCCAUCCAAGGACUUAUCAAAAAAUCUGCAGAACCUUUCAUGACAGGGUGGCUCUACACUGAAGGAAAGGACUGAGGGUAAGCAGCACAAAGGAGGCUGAGAGGAAGAAUGGCUCAACAGCUUAAGGCAACGUUUUAAAUUCAAGCAAUCUGGGUUGUAGUUCUUCUCCUACUACCAGUUUCUGGUGAAGCCCUGGGCACUUCCCUUACUCUGGAUUUUGGACUGUUGGCUGUGAAAUGGGGAGACCAGCUCUCAGCAGAACUGUUGCAAGGAUAAUUACAAAGAAAGGAAGGAAGGAGCUGUGGGUUACAGCUGUCCUAGGACAGAUAACAGGGUUACUGGGGAGUGCAGAUAUGAUCACCUCGCAGUCCUAUGCAGAUCUGUCAGCAAAAACAGCCGCCUCCUGGAUAUGCUUCUUCGGGACCUCCAGCAGCUUCUGAGGAAGGAAGGCCAAGCAGGGCAUGCUUUACUGUUAGGUGUUUGGGACCUAUGUGCCAGUGUCAUGGAUGUGAAGUGGAAGAGCUAAAGGGACUUCUUCCCCCCAUCCCCCUCUUUCAAUUAUGCAAAAUUCUUUAAGAUACACAGGUUGUACAUCAGGGCUGAAUAAGAGCAUACAAAGUUUGCAAAUAUGCAUUAACAAAUUAUCCUGCUGCCAAAGUCAUCUGUAUUUGUAACACAUCUAAUGCUCUUAAGCAGUGCUGUAGGUGAACCUGGAAGGCAGAUGUAGUAUUUUAAUGCUAAUAUGCUAUAAAAUAUCUUAGCAAAAUAAGCAAGUCCCUCUGCAGUGGGUGUUUAUUUUCCUUGAUAUGAUUUAGAAGAUUCUCAUGUGACAAUAUCUUUUGUGUUGUAUUUGUAAAAUGAUCUCUAUGAGAAUAGCACACUAUUACAAUACAUUACAAUAUAAAGUUGCUUGAGCAGCAGAAAGCUCCUAAUACAGUGCUUCACAAUGGAGCACUUAAACAGUUUAAUACAGCUUUCGUGUACAGUAUUUUGAAGAAUCACUACAAGCCAUGUUUGCAGCACUUUUGGGAAAGCAAGAUAAUAUUGAGGAGAACCUCCUUAGCAGAGAGCUUCCUGUCACCAGAACGAUCAUGUUGCUGUUCCAGCAAAUCCAGGUGGGAACAUUUUCAAGGAAAUGUCGAAUACUUCUCCUUUUGCCCAGAAACAGCAUAGCUAUUUUUAGGGAUAUUUUCCAUUGGCCUGCAGCACACUUCAGUUGCUGUAACAUAAUGGAGAGUGGCAUAUUGUAUGUUACGUUGAAUUGAGAAAAUGACUAUGUUGCAUCAUGUCUGUAUUUGGCACUGAAGGAUGCUGAGAUAUUCAUAUUUCUUCAUACUUGUGCCAAUUUGUAUGCAACACAGAUUUAUCAUAAAUAGAAUGUAGGAUCUGGGAUCUAUCCUGUGCUCAUUUACCCCUCUAUCAAUCACGUGUAACACCUUGAUAGCAUGCAACUUUUUCAAGGGAGCCUGGAAUCAGUCCCAGUGUAUUCUGGCCAUAUUCUGUUUACGGUGCUUAAAAAGAAGACACUGUUGUAGGAAGAGCUGGUGUUGUAAUGUAUACUUUUGGGGCUCUACUUAUAUAGACUCGUGAGGCUCAAAAAUAUAAAUAUCCAAAAAUUAUCCCUUCUUUUUAGAGCAUUUUCUAAUUAAUGGGACAUAUGUUAAGACCCUGCAUGGGAACCCGCUUGACAGAAUGCAAAAGCUCACACAGGUGCCCCAAAUAAUCAGGUGCAGAUUCCCAGGGAAAAGGCUCUCAACUAGGCAGUUAAGGCUCUGUGCUCACCAAGCAGCUCUGGCCCCACAGUAAGCUACAGUGGUGUGGGGACUUCUGCACCAGUUCCCCUUCAUCCCCACGGUCCCCACAGCUCCCCCUCUGCAGGGGUAUGCGUCUGGCAGAGGCUCCAGCUCCACGGGAGAGCAGACUGACAGCUGCACCCGGUCACUGGACCAAGAUGGGGCCAGGUAAACUGCUUCACAGUUGCUCCGUGGUGGUUUUCUCCUCCAAUACUGUAUCACAUUUAGUAAGAAAAAUAAAAAAUAAGCCUUGGGCACUCUGUUUUAAUCUAAAUAACUGAUAUUGCUGCAACUAAGGUAAUAUUAAAUCAAAUGUGAUUAUGGACAAUUACACAAUUGUCUUUGGAGACAGAGAAGCUGCAGGUGUUUCCAUGCCUGCUUUGUGAGUGAGAAGACUCCUCACUCAGUAAGGUACCUCAGCCAGUUUGAGGUGAGUCACCAGGCUGCGUUUGCAUGGCAAGUUAGCGUAGGCGCUGCAUUACUGAUCAACCCUGAAGACUCUCAUUGGCCAAGUAAUGGGGACAUCAGGAGCUAAUAUUGUAACCGCCUGUCAUUAGAAACAGAAGAUUUUAGUUUUUAAGACUAUCAUGAUUUCAACCUUUAGAUACAUGUCGCUCUCCAUCCCUUCAGAAAAUGGCAUAUCUUUUAUGUGCAAUCUCAGCAAUAACUAAGAAAAGAUUUUCAGAUUAAAAUUAGAAAGAUCAGCUAUACUCUGAUUGGCAAGCUGAACUGCACAUUAAAGUCACUUUUGAUUUAGUCGUUUCAAGAGAUCCAUCGCUACUGUUUUCUUUAGUCCUUGACAGUGGGCUAAAGAUGUACUUGUUCUUCACAUCUUAUUUAUGUAGAAUAGCAAAUAAAAAUAUUUCCUAACAUUCUUUUCUAAAGUAUCCUUUAAACAAACAGUUGGAGAAAAUGAGCUGAAUGAAUUAAUUUAGGCAGUCCAAUCUGCUGCAUUAGACAAGAUUUUAAAAAGACUCUAAGAGCAUCUGUGUUGGGAGAAAAUAGGGCAGAGGCUCCUUGUCCACAGCAAACUACUUAUUAGAAAGCGGGGACUCCAUCAACAUCAGGGAAACCUUUGCCACCAACUUCAGCCAGGUUAGGAUUUCAGCCAGUACGAAAUAUCAGUAUACUGAUAUUUAACCCUAUAUUCUCAGCUGGUUUCAGCUUUUUAGAAGAACACAUUUAUCUUGUGGACUCAAGCAAUGACUGGGAUUGAAGGUCCUCACAUAGUUCCUAUUGCUGUGUGGCAUGUAAUCUGAUGUUGUACUUACUUACCUUUUUUUAAAAAAAGAAAAUAUAUGAGCUGCAGUUUUCUUUUUAUUUCCUAUCUGUUCAAGUACAGGCUGUAACAUGCAGAAGUAUCACUGCUCGUAACUAUCACACUUAAUUAUGCUUCAUGUGCUGAAUUUGGGAUCUGAAUGUCACUCAAGUGAUUCUUGCACACUUUAUGAUGGAUAUUUAAUCCAAAAACCUGAAGAAAACAGAUCAUUUAAUUUUCUAAUCAGUUUACCAGAUACAGGUUGUGAGGCAUGGAAAUAUUUUGAGCAUUUUCUAUGUUUUUUAAUGAAGUGUUACUACAAUAAGAGGCGGAUGUUACAGCCCAGCUGCUGCAGUGCGCAGCAGUGGCUUUUGUGCUCUGUGCACAACUUUAUGUGUCAGCUUGUGGCAAAACUCCAGGCCUCCAGCCAAGGACGUCUGACAGCGAACUGCUUCUAGAGACAUAGGAUUUUUUUUUUUUUCCAGUGCAUAAACACCUCAAAAAUUUUAGAGUGACUUAUUUCUAGAUGGGGAAGAACGAGAAGAGAACACUUUUCUGUUCUUUCUUUGCAAGGGUGCAAGCCAUGUGUUUUUUCUCUAGGAACUCUGUGAGCAAAGGGGACUCGCCAGGAUCUGUUCGCAGCGUGGUACAUUUGCUCCUCCACCAUUCUGUCCAUACUGCUGUUUUCUCCUCCCUUAAACUUCAUCUUUUAAACUGAUGAUAUUCUGCAGAGAUGCAAGAUUUAUGUCUUCCCUAAAAGACGUGGAACAAGUUUUUCCUCUCAGUGCAGAGCAUCUAAGAUAAUGAGGAACACACUAGCAGCAUUAAAACAAAGGCGCAUCAGAUCCUCAGGGGAAUCGGAUGCCAGGCGUGCAGUAUUUCCUCCAACCAUCUGAAAACCAGCAUCAUUGUUCUUUCAGGAUGUUUCUGAAGCAAAGGAAACAAUAGGACGUGCCCAUAAAUCCUUCCCAUUAGGGUAAAGAAGCGUACAAAGCAGUAAGAUUCAAACUUUAUGUUUGGCCAGUCCAUGGCAUGAGUAGAUGUAACUGACUUGCCAGGGCCUCCACUUGCUGGGUAUUCUUAGUAAGCAGGCCAACACGUGAAUAUUUUUCUCUCUGAA
Molecule: long non-coding RNA, 5197 nt
Organism: Rhea pennata
Lineage: Eukaryota; Metazoa; Chordata; Aves; Rheiformes; Rheidae
Exons: 9
Source: RefSeq, a predicted model, not a curated record